This 21-nucleotide non-coding RNA is filed under the name Caenorhabditis elegans. Lineage: Eukaryota; Metazoa; Nematoda; Chromadorea; Rhabditida; Rhabditidae. The record is from RNAcentral.
UAAGGCACUGUUCUGUUCAUG